GACGAACGCUGGCGGCGUGCUUAACACAUGCAAGUCGAACGGAAAGGCCUGCUUUCCCUUGUGGAUUGCGGGUACUCGAGUGGCGAACGGGUGAGUAACACGUGAGUGAUGUGCCCCCAACUUGGGUAUAAGCCAGGGAAACUGGGUCUAAUUUCCGAUAGGACUGCAGGGUGGUGCCUGUGGUCGCAAACGGUUAUAUAGCGGUGGGGGAUGAGCUCGCGGCCUAUCAGCUGGUUGGUGGCGUAAUGGCCUACCAAGGCGGCGACGGCUAGCCGGCCUGAGGGGGUGGAGCGGGACAUUGAGAGUGAGCUGCGGCCCAGAGACCGAGGGAAGGCAGCGGUGGGGAAUAGUGGACGAUGGGGGGAAGACUGAUGAAGCGAGGCAGCGUGGAGGAUGACGGCCUUCGGGUUGUAAACUCCUUUCGAGCGCGAGGAAGCCAACUGGUUGGAAGGGUGGUGACGGUAGUGGUAGAAGAAGCACCGGCUAACUACGUG
RNAcentral lists this ribosomal RNA (494 nucleotides) under uncultured bacterium. RNAcentral describes it as "partial 16S ribosomal RNA". It matches the Rfam family "Bacterial small subunit ribosomal RNA", at positions 28 to 507 of the family's 1533-position model. The record is from RNAcentral.